This 73-nucleotide transfer RNA is filed under the name Atta colombica. It matches the Rfam family "tRNA". Rfam says of the family: Transfer RNA (tRNA) molecules are approximately 80 nucleotides in length. Their secondary structure includes four short double-helical elements and three loops (D, anti-codon, and T loops). Further hydrogen bonds mediate the characteristic L-shaped molecular structure. tRNAs have two regions of fundamental functional importance: the anti-codon, which is responsible for specific mRNA codon recognition, and the 3' end, to which the tRNAs corresponding amino acid is attached (by aminoacyl-tRNA synthetases). tRNAs cope with the degeneracy of the genetic code in two manners: having more than one tRNA (with a specific anti-codon) for a particular amino acid; and 'wobble' base-pairing, i.e. permitting non-standard base-pairing at the 3rd anti-codon position. The record is from Rfam by way of RNAcentral. Lineage: Eukaryota; Metazoa; Arthropoda; Insecta; Hymenoptera; Formicidae.
GCCUCAGUAGUCUAAAGGCUUAGGAUGCUUGCACGGAAUGCAAGAGAUUCGAGUUCAAUUCCCAGCCGAGGUA